AAAAAAAUCGUAAAUGGAAUUCAAAGCAUUAAAGUACACAUUACCAUUCACACGAUUUGUAUUAAUUUGAUUAAGUAUUUUAAUAGUAUAAAUUUUUAUUUCAUUCUAUUGGUGUUGAAGAAUAUUUAAGAUUAAUUAAGGAUUUCUCAAAGAAGAAGGGUCAAUUUAUGUUUCAUUAUAUUAAGGGAAAAAGACCAUUCGCACAAAAUAGAAAAAGUCAAACCUCAUUUCAAUGAUAAUCUUUUUUAUUAACCUAUUUGAAUAAAAAGUACUUAUUUUAAGCCCAAAUACACAAAUCUUUAUUAAAAUAUAAUAAAAUUAUAUUUUUAAAGAUUUUUUUAUCCUUAGCUUUUACUUAAAGAGAAAAAGUGAAAAAGAUGGAGGGAAGACUUUGCCGGAAGCACACCGGGCUCCGGUGCCAGUCACCGACGGCCGCAUUCCGGUAGCCGGACUCCGAACUCCGGCCGCCGGUGACCGGAAUUUUCCGACGGCCGGAAAAUUGCCGGCAUCCGGUGGCCGAAAUUUUCUAUAAAUCUCAUUGGAUUUUUUUAAAUGCCAUCGGAAUUUAUGUGAUCUUAACCCAAGUACGAAAAAUAAAGUUUACUACCUCUAGUAAACUUUUACUAGGGGUAGUAAACUCAAAAUAAAGUUUCUCCAUAACCAUUAUACACCUUAAAACAGUGAAAAAUCAACUUAGAUGCAGAAAAAUAAAGUUUACUACCCCUAGUAAACUUCUGCUGGGGGUAGUAAACUUGCAAUAUAGUUUUCCUAUGACCAUUAUAUACCUUAAAGGAGAGAAAAAACCAACAUAUAUGCAAAAAAUAAAAGUUUACCACCCCUAGUAAACAUCUUACUGGGGGUAGUAAUCUUGCAAAAUAAUAUCUCCAAGGCUAUAAGUACACAUUAAAACGGAGAAAAAUCAACUUAGAUGCGAAAAAAAUAAAAUUUACUACCCCUAGUAAACUUUUACUGGGGCUAGGGGUAGUAAACUUGCAAAACAAUAUUUUUAAGACCAUAAUACACACUAAAACAGAGGAAGAACAAUUUAGAUUCGAAAAACUAAAGUUUACUACCCCCAGUAAACUUUUAUUAGGGGUAGUAAACUUGCAAAACAAUAUUUUCAAGGCCAUAAUACAGACUAAAACAGAGGAAGAACAACUUAGAUGCAAAAAAAAAGUUUACUACCCCCAUUAAACUUUUACUGGGGGUAGUAAACUUGCAAUCUAUUAUCUCCAAAGAAAAAUCAACACACAAGCAAAUAAUAGAAAAUUACUACCCCUAGUAAUUUUUAUAUUUUGGGUGCAGAACACAAAAAUAAGAUGCUAUGAAUUAUUACUACCGUCAGUAAGAAUCUUAAUUAUUCCAUAUACAUCAACGCCAAAACGUAUCUAACAGUUCUAUCUAACCAAAAUUGAUUUCAUAAUUAUCAAACAUCAAUGAGAGACUAAUGAAGGUACAUAAACCUUUUGUUAACUAGAAACCUUUUGUCACCUAAUUACCGCUUAUUGCAAAAAUUAUAGAAAAGGCAAAGAAAAAAAAGACCGUGGACGAUCAGUGACAUCAUGGUUGAAGAAGAUGAGGACGUCAUCGGCGAGAGGAGCAAUGUGGAUGUAGAAGAGGUCGACGUGGUAGCGGAGAUCGGCGUGGAAGUGGAGGUCCGAGAUUGGAGAUCAGAGGUCAGAGAUCGGAGAUCGGAUCUUCGCCUCGUGNNNNNNNNNNNNNNNNNNNNGAGAGAGAGAGAGAUCCGGAAUGAGAGGGGAGGAGAGGAGAGAGAUAGAUAGGUUAUGGGUAGAAAAGUAAUUCUAUUAAGUUUAAUUGAAAUGGGCAUAGGAAAAAUUUUUUCUUUGGGGUGGGCAACAAGACCCAAUAAUUAGUAUCAAAUAGGCAUUAUGUCUUAUACUAAUAUCCAAUGUUCAUUAAUUAAGGCUAAUUAAGCUUUUUCAAAAUUUGAGAGGGUUCAAACAUUAGAGUAAACUAAAUCGAGAAAUUUUGAAAACUAACCAAUUUUUGGUCAUCAAGAUGGUUUUUAACCUUUUUUUUUAUUUUAGUUGAAAACUAACCAUUUUACAAGAUAAAAUGACUAUUAUGUCAUCUUAUUAAUUUAGUUGCAAGGGAAAAUUUCAUAUUCCAUGAACAGAUUUAAUAUAUUCCACCUGCAAAAGACUUUAG
This 2169-nucleotide long non-coding RNA is filed under the name Fragaria vesca (wild strawberry). Its description in RNAcentral is "long non-coding RNA (FVES_LNC000409)". Lineage: Eukaryota; Viridiplantae; Streptophyta; Magnoliopsida; Rosales; Rosaceae. The record is from RNAcentral.